This 253-nucleotide ribosomal RNA is filed under the name uncultured bacterium. RNAcentral's name for it is "partial 16S ribosomal RNA". It matches the Rfam family "Bacterial small subunit ribosomal RNA", at positions 524 to 776 of the family's 1533-position model. The record is from RNAcentral.
UACGAAGGGGGCUAGCGUUGCUCGGAAUCACUGGGCGUAAAGGGUGCGUAGGCGGGUCUUUAAGUCAGGGGUGAAAUCCUGGAGCUCAACUCCAGAACUGCCUUUGAUACUGAGGAUCUUGAGUUCGGGAGAGGUGAGUGGAACUGCGAGUGUAGAGGUGAAAUUCGUAGAUAUUCGCAAGAACACCAGUGGCGAAGGCGGCUCACUGGCUCAUUUCUGACGCUCAGGCGCGACAGCGUGGGGAUCAAACAGG